Molecule: ribosomal RNA, 500 nt
Filed under: uncultured bacterium
Lineage: Bacteria
Description: bacterial SSU rRNA
Rfam family: Bacterial small subunit ribosomal RNA
Source: RNAcentral
UACGGGAGGCAGCAGUGGGGAAUUUUGGACAAUGGGCGAAAGCCUGAUCCAGCAAUGCCGCGUGUGUGAAGAAGGCCUUCGGGUUGUAAAGCACUUUUGUCCGGAAAGAAAUCCUUGGCUCUAAUACAGUCGGGGGAUGACGGUACCGGAAGAAUAAGCACCGGCUAACUACGUGCCAGCAGCCGCGGUAAUACGUAGGGUGCGAGCGUUAAUCGGAAUUACUGGGCGUAAAGCGUGCGCAGGCGGUUUGCUAAGACCGAUGUGAAAUCCCCGGGCUCAACCUGGGAACUGCAUUGGUGACUGGCAGGCUAGAGUAUGGCAGAGGGGGGUAGAAUUCCACGUGUAGCAGUGAAAUGCGUAGAGAUGUGGAGGAAUACCGAUGGCGAAGGCAGCCCCCUGGGCCAAUACUGACGCUCAUGCACGAAAGCGUGGGGAGCAAACAGGAUUAGAUACCCUGGUAGUCCACGCCNUAAGCGAUGUCAACUAGUUGUAGGGGAUUC